AGAGUUUGAUCCUGGCUCAGGAUGAACGCUAGCGAUAGGCUUAACACAUGCAAGUCGAGGGGCAGCAUGGUCUUAGCUUGCUAAGACUGAUGGCGACCGGCGCACGGGUGCGUAACGCGUAUGCAACUUGCCUCACAGAGGGGGAUAACCCGUCGAAAGACGGACUAAUACCGCGUACACUUAUUGGAGGGCAUCCUUUAGUAAGGAAAUGAAAUUCGCUGUGAGAUAGGCAUGCGUCCCAUUAGCUAGUUGGUGAGGUAACGGCUCACCAAGGCAACGAUGGGUAGGGGAACUGAGAGGUUGAACCCCCACACUGGUACUGAGACACGGACCAGACUCCUACGGGAGGCAGCAGUGAGGAAUAUUGGUCAAUGGGCGAGAGCCUGAACCAGCCAAGUCGCGUGAAGGAUGACUGUCUUAUGGAUUGUAAACUUCUUUUGUAGGGGAAUAAAGACCAGUACGUGUACUGGAGUGAAUGUACCCUACGAAUAAGCAUCGGCUAACUCCGUGCCAGCAGCCGCGGUAAUACGGAGGAUGCGAGCGUUAUCCGGAUUUAUCGGGUUUAAAGGGUGCGUAGGCGGCCUGUUAAGUCAGCGGUGAAAUCUAGGAGCUUAACUCCUAAAUUGCCAUUGAUACUGGCGGGCUUGAGUGUAGAUGAGGUAGGCGGAAUGCGUGGUGUAGCGGUGGAAUGCAUAGAUAUCACNCAGAACUCCGAUUGCGAAGGCAGCUUACUAAGGUACAACUGACGCUGAAGCACGAAAAGCGUGGGUAUCAAACAGGAUUAGAUACCCUGGUAGUCCACGCAGUAAACGAUGAUAACUGGGGCGUAUGCGAUAUACAGUAUGCUCCUAAGCGAAAGCGUUAAGUUAUCCACCUGGGGAGUACGCCGGCAACGGUGAAACUCAUAGGAAUUGACGGGGGCCCGCACAAGCGGAGGAACAUGUGGUUUAAUUCGAUGAUA
RNAcentral lists this ribosomal RNA (961 nucleotides) under uncultured Porphyromonas sp. RNAcentral describes it as "bacterial SSU rRNA". It matches the Rfam family "Bacterial small subunit ribosomal RNA", at positions 8 to 959 of the family's 1533-position model. Lineage: Bacteria; Pseudomonadati; Bacteroidota; Bacteroidia; Bacteroidales; Porphyromonadaceae. The record is from RNAcentral.